RNAcentral lists this transfer RNA (70 nucleotides) under Phlaeoba tenebrosa. RNAcentral describes it as "tRNA-Ile". Lineage: Eukaryota; Metazoa; Arthropoda; Insecta; Orthoptera; Acrididae. The record is from RNAcentral.
AACAGGGUGCCUGAUUAAAGGAUUAUCUUGAUAGGAUAAAUUAAGUAAUUAUUUUCUAUUACCCCUGUUA